UACGAAGGGGGCUAGCGUUGCUCGGAAUCACUGGGCUUAAAGCGUGUGUAGGCGGACUUCUAAGUACCUUGUGAAAUCCCACGGCUCACCCGUGGAACUGCUGGGUAUACUGGUCGUCUUGAGCCACCUAGGGGCGAGCGGAACAAAUGGUGGAGCGGUGAAAUGCGUAGAUAUCAUUUGGAACGCCAACGGUGAAAACAGCUCGCUGGGGGUGUGCUGACGCUGAGACACGAAAGCCAGGGUAGCGAACGGG
RNAcentral lists this ribosomal RNA (253 nucleotides) under uncultured bacterium. RNAcentral's name for it is "partial 16S ribosomal RNA". It matches the Rfam family "Bacterial small subunit ribosomal RNA", at positions 524 to 776 of the family's 1533-position model. The record is from RNAcentral.